UCUGCAGUAGGGUGUAAGUACAGAUAAGCUAUCACCUCAGA
Molecule: non-coding RNA, 41 nt
Organism: Canis lupus familiaris (dog)
Lineage: Eukaryota; Metazoa; Chordata; Mammalia; Carnivora; Canidae
Source: Rfam